Molecule: ribosomal RNA, 309 nt
Filed under: Triticum aestivum (bread wheat)
Lineage: Eukaryota; Viridiplantae; Streptophyta; Magnoliopsida; Poales; Poaceae
Description: partial small subunit ribosomal RNA
Source: RNAcentral
GGCAUAUGGUUCAACGCAGUCCCUAAAUUCACUCCAGCAUGGGUUGGAAAUAGGGAUAACCCAGUCAAGAACACGACCUCAGUUGAGCUCACCAUUUCCCACGAUGGCAACCUUGUCAUCUUAAACCGGUCCACCAUGUCCAUAAUCUGGUCCACACAAGCAAACAUCUCCAGAAAUAGCACCACUGCUAGGCUGCUGAGUACUGGAAAUCUCGUACUCACAGACUCUUCAAACUUGUCAGAGUUUCUAUGGCAAAGCUUUGAUCACCCCACGGAUACAUUUUUUCCUGGGGCCAAGCAUGGAUGGGAU